UGUCUUCAAGGCAGGGUGAAAAUCCCUACCGGCGGUAAAGCCCGCAAGCCCUAUGGCACGAUCCGGUGUGAUUCCGGAGCCGACAGUAUAGUCUGGAUGAGAGAAGAU
This 108-nucleotide non-coding RNA is filed under the name bovine gut metagenome. RNAcentral describes it as "FMN riboswitch (RFN element)". It matches the Rfam family "FMN riboswitch aptamer (RFN element)". From Rfam's summary of the family: The RFN element is a highly conserved domain that is found frequently in the 5'-untranslated regions of prokaryotic mRNAs that encode for flavin mononucleotide (FMN) biosynthesis and transport proteins. The record is from RNAcentral.